AGGACGAACGCUGGCGGCGUGCUUAACACAUGCAAGUCGAGCGGAAAGGCCCUUCGGGGUACUCGAGCGGCGAACGGGUGAGUAACACGUGAGCAACCUGCCCCUGGCUCUGGGAUAGCCUCCGGAAACGGGGAUUAAUACCGGACAUGACCCUUGACCGCAUGGUUGGGGGUGGAAAGUUUUUCAGCCAGGGUGGGCUCGCGGCCUAUCAGCUUGUUGGGGGGGUGACGGCCCACCAAGGCGACGACGGGUAG
RNAcentral lists this ribosomal RNA (254 nucleotides) under uncultured bacterium. Its description in RNAcentral is "partial small subunit ribosomal RNA". It matches the Rfam family "Bacterial small subunit ribosomal RNA", at positions 26 to 286 of the family's 1533-position model. The record is from RNAcentral.